Molecule: ribosomal RNA, 320 nt
Filed under: Staphylococcus aureus
Lineage: Bacteria; Bacillati; Bacillota; Bacilli; Caryophanales; Staphylococcaceae
Description: partial 23S ribosomal RNA
Rfam family: Bacterial large subunit ribosomal RNA
Source: RNAcentral
GUGUAUAAGAGACAGGAUGAACUGAGGGUAGCGGAGAAAUUCCAAUCGAACCUGGAGAUAGCUGGUUCUCUCCGAAAUAGCUUUAGGGCUAGCCUCAAGUGAUGAUUAUUGGAGGUAGAGCACUGUUUGGACGAGGGGCCCCUCUCGGGUUACCGAAUUCAGACAAACUCCGAAUGCCAAUUAAUUUAACUUGGGAGUCAGAACAUGGGUGAUAAGGUCCGUGUUCGAAAGGGAAACAGCCCAGACCACCAGCUAAGGUCCCAAAAUAUAUGUUAAGUGGAAAAGGAUGUGGCGUUGCCCAGACAACUAGGAUGUUGGCU